CGCGGUAAUACGGAGGGUGCAAGCGUUAAUUGGAAUUACUGGGCGUAAAGCGCAUGCAGGUGGUUUGUUAAGUCAGAUGUGAAAGCCCUGGGCUCAACCUAGGAAUCGCAUUUGAAACUGACAAGCUAGAGUACUGUAGAGGGGGGUAGAAUUUCAGGUGUAGCGGUGAAAUGCGUAGAGAUCUGAAGGAAUACCGGUGGCGAAGGCGGCCCCCUGGACAGAUACUGACACUCAGAUGCGAAAGCGUGGGGAGCAAACAGGAUUAGAUACCCUGGUAGUCCACGCCGUAAACGAUGUCUACUUGGAGGUUGUGCCCUAGAGGCGUGGCUUUCGGAGCUAACGCGUUAAGUAGACCGCCUGGGGAGUACGGUCGCAAGAUUAAAACUCAAAUGAAUUGACGGGGGCCCGCACAAGCGGUGGAGCAUGUGGUUUAAUUCGAUGCAACGCGAAGAACCUUACCUACUCUUGACAUCCAGACAAUCUAGCGGAGACGCUGGAGUGCCUUCGGGAGCUCUGAGACAGGUGCUGCA
Molecule: ribosomal RNA, 530 nt
Filed under: Vibrio cholerae
Lineage: Bacteria; Pseudomonadati; Pseudomonadota; Gammaproteobacteria; Vibrionales; Vibrionaceae
Description: bacterial SSU rRNA
Rfam family: Bacterial small subunit ribosomal RNA
Source: RNAcentral